UGGAGAAGCUGAGUUGUCGCUAUUAAUUAGAGGAAAGUCCGGGCUCCAUGAAGAAAAGGUGCUGGCUAAUGACCAGCGGACGUAAGUCUAGGGAAAGUGCCACAGAAAAGAUACCGCCUACUAUGUAGGUAAGGGUGAAAUGGUGUGGUAAGAGCACACCGCUAUUUUGGUAACAAGGUAGGCAUGGUAAACCCCACCUGGAGCAAGUUCGAGCAAAGAGUUAGAUCUUCACAAUUACCUCUUGGGUUGAACGCUAUAAUUUUGCAGCAAUGCACGAUAGAGAUAAAUGACAACAUAAUUACAGAACCCGGCUUAUAGGCUUCUCUUUUUU
This 331-nucleotide RNase P RNA is filed under the name Alphaproteobacteria bacterium. RNAcentral describes it as "RNase P RNA component class A". It matches the Rfam family "Bacterial RNase P class A". From Rfam's summary of the family: Ribonuclease P (RNase P) is a ubiquitous endoribonuclease, found in archaea, bacteria and eukarya as well as chloroplasts and mitochondria. Its best characterised activity is the generation of mature 5'-ends of tRNAs by cleaving the 5'-leader elements of precursor-tRNAs. The record is from RNAcentral. Lineage: Bacteria; Pseudomonadati; Pseudomonadota; Alphaproteobacteria.